AUACGUAGGGAGCGAGCGUUGUCCGGAAUUACUGGGUGUAAAGGGAGCGUAGGCGGGAGUGCAAGUCAGAUGUGAAAUACAUGGGCUCAACCCAUGGGCUGCAUUUGAAACUGCAUUUCUUGAGUGAAGUAGAGGUAAGCGGAAUUCCUGGUGUAGCGGUGAAAUGCGUAGAUAUCAGGAGGAACACCGGUGGCGAAGGCGGCUUACUGGGCUGUUACUGACGCUGAGGAUCGAAAGCGUGGGGAGCAAACAGGAUUAGAUACCCUGGUAGUCCACGCUGUAAACGAUGAUUACUAGGUGUGGGGGGACUGACCCCUUCCGUGCCGCAGUUAACACAAUAAGUAAUCCACCUGGGGAGUACGGCCGCAAGGUUGAA
RNAcentral lists this ribosomal RNA (376 nucleotides) under uncultured bacterium. RNAcentral describes it as "partial 16S ribosomal RNA". It matches the Rfam family "Bacterial small subunit ribosomal RNA", at positions 523 to 898 of the family's 1533-position model. The record is from RNAcentral.